CGGCGACUAGGAUAUGUUAAACGGCCGCGGUACCCUAACCGUGCAAAGGUAGCAUAAUCAUUUGCCUUUUAAUUGGAGGCUUGUAUGAAUGGUUUGACGAGGGCUGAGCUGUCUCUUUUGAAAUAUUUAGAAAUUAACUUUUAGGUGAAGAGGCCUAAAUUUGGUUGAGGGACAAGAAGACCCUGUUGAGCUUUAGUUUUAUGCUAAAUGGGUUAAUAUAUUUAUAUUGAUAUGGAUCGUAAGGUGUAAUGGGAUUUUAGCGUGAAUCUUUAGUUGGGGCGACUGAGGAACAAUUAAAGCUUCCUUUAAUUUAAGAAGGAGAUAUGGUGGUUCGAAGUAAUAUAUUCCUGCGAGUUGUUUUGAUCCAGUAGAUAUUGAUUAAAGGAAAAAGUUACCACAGGGAUAACAGCGUAAUCUUUCUGGAGAGAUCUUAUCGAAAGGAGGGUUUGCGACCUCGAUGUUGGACUAAGAUAUCCUAAGGGUGUAGAAGCUCUUGAUGGUUGGUCUGUUCGACCAUUAAAAUCUUACGUGAUCUGAG
RNAcentral lists this ribosomal RNA (538 nucleotides) under Monodonta perplexa perplexa. Its description in RNAcentral is "partial 16S ribosomal RNA". It matches the Rfam family "Bacterial large subunit ribosomal RNA", at positions 1907 to 2609 of the family's 2925-position model. The record is from RNAcentral. Lineage: Eukaryota; Metazoa; Mollusca; Gastropoda; Trochida; Trochidae.